RNAcentral lists this unclassified non-coding RNA (256 nucleotides) under Hevea brasiliensis (rubber tree). The record is from RNAcentral. Lineage: Eukaryota; Viridiplantae; Streptophyta; Magnoliopsida; Malpighiales; Euphorbiaceae.
AGGGGUGGGUCAUUGCACGGCGGAGACGAUCAAUCUUGAGGAAAGUAUAGUUGAUUUGUUGCUGUAGCAGUACAAGAGCUGAUUCAAACGGCGAUGCCGAGGGUUUGACUUUGAUCCUCUGAUAAUCGAGCUCGUUUACAGCGCGAGCCUGCGAAAGGAAGAAUAUCACCAAAGCAAGUAGUGUAAAGACAGUGAAGCGACGAGAAGCCAUUUUCCAAUUUUUCUUUCAACACCAGAACUUCACCGUCACUGGUUU